GCCCCCGUUGUCUAAUGGUUAUGACGUCAGACUUCUACAUUCCCUGUUUUGGCUGCUCUCUGUCAAUCUUGUAAUCUAGUCCGUAUCUGGAGGUUGCGGGUUCGAGUCCCGCCGGGGGUU
Molecule: non-coding RNA, 120 nt
Organism: Mycena alexandri
Lineage: Eukaryota; Fungi; Basidiomycota; Agaricomycetes; Agaricales; Mycenaceae
Source: the annotation of a GenBank genome assembly